This 1430-nucleotide long non-coding RNA is filed under the name Dasypus novemcinctus (nine-banded armadillo). RNAcentral describes it as "lncRNA (ENSDNOG00000052848.1)". The record is from RNAcentral. Lineage: Eukaryota; Metazoa; Chordata; Mammalia; Cingulata; Dasypodidae.
GAACGGUGUGUCGCUGGGCACCGCCUUUGAGAAUCUGUCCAGGGGCCUGGGCAUGGCCUACUUCCCAGCCAUCAGCCUCUCCUUCAAGGAGUCCGUGGCCUUCAACUUCGGCAGCCGCCCCCUGCGAUAUCCUUUGGGGAAGAUGGCUGUGGGCUGCUUGCGAGCUCUUGUGAAAGCUGGGGUGAGGGGCUCCCUGCCCGAGGAGCUCUGUGGGCUGGGGUCGGGCCCUGGCUGCCAUGUGUGAGGUGGUUGCCCAGGAGGACAGUCCUUGUGGCACCCUUGCUAGGCAGGUGCCGUCACUCUCCUCAUCUCACAGAUGAAGAACACGAAGCAGCAGGAGAACUUGUGCUCCCUGGAGAGUAAGUGGGGAGCUGUGAUGUGAGCCCUACCCUAGAGCCCCAGCCCCUUCUCAGAAGUCCCAGUGGGUAGGGGGUGGGAGGGUCAGGGCCACAGAUCAGGCGUUGCCAGCUUAACUCGGUGGCACCUACCCGGUGGCGGGAUACCGGCCCCUGCAGGACCCACCGCGGGCUGACCUGGUGCAGGCCCAGAGGCUGCUGGGUUGCUUCCGGGCAGUGCUGUGUGUGGAGCUGGAUCCUGCGGAAGGACGGCUGGUAGAGAAGGAGAGCUCGGAGUGGCAGGCACAGGGCCAGCCCACCGUCCUCCUCACCCUCGCCCACAUCUUCCACCGCUUCGCACCACUCCUGCGCAAGGUGUACCUGGUGGAGGCCGUGCUCAUGAGCUUCCUGCUGGGCGUCGUGGAGGCGGCCACCCCCGCCCAGGCACAGUCCGUGGUGCACCAGGUGCUGGACCUCCUGUGGCUCUUCAUGGAGGUGAGGUCCCCACCCCAGCUCCCUGGAGCUCAGGUCAGGAUGUCGGGCUCUGCCAGGCUCGGGGGAUAAAGGGAGGGUCUUGGAAAAGGCCCCAGGAACGGCUGCCAUGGAGCCUGCCCUUGAGCAGGCAGGCGCACAGCUGGCCUCUUCCCCCAGGACUACGAGGUGCAGGAUUGCCUCAAGCAGCUGAUGAUGUCCCUGCUGCGGCUGUACCGGUUCUCGCCCAUCGUCCCAGACCUGGGCCUGCAGAUCCACUACCUGCGGCUCACUAUCGCCAUCCUGAGGCACGAGAAGUCUCGCAAGUUUCUGCUCAGCAAUGUCCUCUUCGACGUGCUCCGGGCCGUCGUCUUCUUUUACAUCAAGAGCCCCCUGCGGGUGGAGGAGGCCGGCCUGCAGGAGCUCAUCCCCACCACCUGGUGGCCCCAGCACAGCAGCAGGGAGGUGGGCAGGCGCCGCGGCGGGCAGACGGUGGCCCCGGCCCCUGGCCCCGGAGGCUCCUGCCCCAGCCCUGGUCUCUGUUGGCCUGGGGAGGGGGUGGGCUUCUGAUAGAACUAGGCCGGGGGAGCCCUGGGUGAGCCCUGCUGUCUCCCGCCGCGUGCC